RNAcentral lists this ribosomal RNA (1123 nucleotides) under uncultured bacterium. RNAcentral describes it as "bacterial SSU rRNA". It matches the Rfam family "Bacterial small subunit ribosomal RNA", at positions 47 to 1162 of the family's 1533-position model. The record is from RNAcentral.
AUUGAUUUUAUGCUUGCAUAAAUGAUUUUUGGAUUCGGAGCGAGUGGCGAACUGGUGAGUAACACGUGGGUAACCUGCCCCGAAGCGGGGGAUAACAUUUGGAAACAAGUGCUAAUACCGCAUAAUUAGUUGGAACCGCAUGGUUCCAACUUGAAAGAUGGCUCUGCUAUCACUUUGGGAUGGACCCGCGCCGUAUUAGUUAGUUGGUGAGAUAAAAGCCCACCAAGACGAUGAUACGCAGCCGACCUGAGAGGGUAAUCGGCCACAUUGGGACUGAGACACGGCCCAGACUCCUACGGGAGGCAGCAGUAGGGAAUCUUCCACAAUGGACGAAAGUCUGAUGGAGCAACGCCGCGUGAGUGAUGAAGGUUUUCGGAUCGUAAAACUCUGUUGUUAAAGAAGAACAAGUGUUAGAGUAACUGUUAACACUUUGACGGUAUUUAACCAGAAAGCCACGGCUAACUACGUGCCAGCAGCCGCGGUAAUACGUAGGUGGCAAGCGUUGUCCGGAUUUAUUGGGCGUAAAGCGAGCGCAGGCGGUUUUGUAAGUCUGCUGUGAAAGCCCUCAGCUCAACUGAGGAAGUGCAGUGGAAACUACAAAACUUGAGUACAGAAGAGGAAAGUGGAACUCCAUGUGUAGCGGUGAAAUGCGUAGAUAUAUGGAAGAACACCAGUGGCGAAGGCGGCUUUCUGGUCUGUUACUGACGCUGAGGCUCGAAAGCAUGGGUAGCGAACAGGAUUAGAUACCCUGGUAGUCCAUGCCGUAAACGAUGAAUACUAGGUGUUGGAGGGUUUCCGCCCUUCAGUGCCGCAGCUAACGCAUUAAGUAUUCCGCCUGGGGAGUACGACCGCAAGGUUGAAACUCAAAGGAAUUGACGGGGGCCCGCACAAGUGGUGGAGCAUGUGGUUUAAUUCGAUGCUACGCGAAGAACCUUACCAGCUCUUGACAUCUUCUGCCAACCCAAGAGAUUGGGCGUUCCCUUCGGGGACAGAAUGACAGGUGGUGCAUGGUUGUCGUCAGCUCGUGUCGUGAGAUGUUGGGUUAAGUCCCGCAACGAGCGCAACCCUUAUUAUUAGUUGCCAGCAUUUAGUUGGGCACUCUAGUGAGACUGCCGGUGAUAAA